UACUGAAGGAACCGCUUGUGGUUUUAAC
RNAcentral lists this small RNA (28 nucleotides) under Bombyx mori (domestic silkworm). RNAcentral's name for it is "piRNA piR-bmo-2244807". The record is from RNAcentral. Lineage: Eukaryota; Metazoa; Arthropoda; Insecta; Lepidoptera; Bombycidae.